RNAcentral lists this ribosomal RNA (185 nucleotides) under Escherichia coli. Its description in RNAcentral is "partial 23S ribosomal RNA". It matches the Rfam family "Bacterial large subunit ribosomal RNA", at positions 2763 to 2925 of the family's 2925-position model. The record is from RNAcentral. Lineage: Bacteria; Pseudomonadati; Pseudomonadota; Gammaproteobacteria; Enterobacterales; Enterobacteriaceae.
GAUAAGUGCUGAAAGCAUCUAAGCACGAAACUUGCCCCGAGAUGAGUUCUCCCUGACUCCUUGAGAGUCCUGAAGGAACGUUGAAGACGACGACGUUGAUAGGCCGGGUGUGUAAGCGCAGCGAUGCGUUGAGCUAACCGGUACUAAUGAACCGUGAGGCUUAACCUUACAACGCCUAAGGUGUU